GUGAAUCAUCAAAUUUUUGAACGCAAAUUGCACUCCCUGGUAUUCCGGGGAGUAUGCCUGUUUGAGGGUCGUUAGAAUAAAAAAUCGACAUAGUCGCUGUUUUCGCGGUGAUAUUCGUCGGAAAUUGGGUCAUCUUAAACCUUUGGGUUUUAACCGGUUUAAAAUUUUCUUUACGAUUCAACGAACGUUUCAAAGAUUUACUUCUUACACAC
RNAcentral lists this unclassified non-coding RNA (212 nucleotides) under Glomeraceae sp. RNAcentral's name for it is "partial contains 5.8S ribosomal RNA and internal transcribed spacer 2". The stretch from base 1 to 71 matches the Rfam family "5.8S ribosomal RNA", at positions 84 to 154 of the family's 154-position model. The record is from RNAcentral. Lineage: Eukaryota; Fungi; Glomeromycota; Glomeromycetes; Glomerales; Glomeraceae.